AGCAAGAAGCGCCGGGAGUCCGGAGUGAAGUGCGUUUCAGGGGCUCGUGGAAACGCCCAGGAGCGCAAGGGGGCAGCGCCGAUAGUGCAGCCUGGGAGGAAAGUAGCCGACUGCAGUCUGGCCUGUCGCACCAAGCUGGCCGGGGAUGGGGCCCGCAGCUUCCCAGCCAAGCCUAUGUGAAGCAACAGUCAAGGUAGUUGCAGUUUUACAAAGACACAGCGUUUC
RNAcentral lists this long non-coding RNA (225 nucleotides) under Propithecus coquereli (Coquerel's sifaka). RNAcentral's name for it is "WT1 antisense RNA conserved region 3 (ENSPCOG00000001708.1)". It matches the Rfam family "WT1 antisense RNA conserved region 3". Lineage: Eukaryota; Metazoa; Chordata; Mammalia; Primates; Indriidae. The record is from RNAcentral.